UACAAAGGGUGCAAACGUUGCUCGGAAUCAUUGGGCGUAAAGCGCACGUAGGCGGCUUUGCAAGUCGGACGUGAAAUCCCUCAGCUCAACUGAGGACGUGCAUCCGAAACUGCAAGGCUUGAGUACUGAAGAGGAUCGCGGAAUUCCCGGUGUAGAGGUGAAAUUCGUAGAUAUCGGGAGGAACACCAGUGGCGAAGGCAGCUCGCUGGGACGUGACUGACGCUGAGACGCGAAAGCGUGGGGAGCAAACAGG
RNAcentral lists this ribosomal RNA (253 nucleotides) under uncultured bacterium. RNAcentral describes it as "partial 16S ribosomal RNA". It matches the Rfam family "Bacterial small subunit ribosomal RNA", at positions 524 to 776 of the family's 1533-position model. The record is from RNAcentral.